AAAAAAAAAGACACACACACAGAUACACAGAGAGAUACACACACACACAGAAAAAAAAGACAGACACACACAGAUACACAGAGAGAGAGAGAGACAGACACACACAGAUACACAGAGAGAGAGAGACAGACAUACAGAAAAAAAAGACAGAGACACACAGAGAAAGAGACAGACAGCGAUACACGGAGAGACAGACACAGAGAGAGAGAGACAGACACACAGAGAGAGAUACACAGAGAAAGACACACAUACACAGAAAGAGAGAUACACACAAAUACACAGAGAGAGAC
Pelobates cultripes (western spadefoot toad) is the source of this 290-nucleotide non-coding RNA. The record is from the annotation of a GenBank genome assembly. Lineage: Eukaryota; Metazoa; Chordata; Amphibia; Anura; Pelobatidae.